RNAcentral lists this transfer RNA (17 nucleotides) under Okanagana fratercula. RNAcentral describes it as "partial tRNA-Lys". RNAcentral also lists the same sequence under 1 other name. Lineage: Eukaryota; Metazoa; Arthropoda; Insecta; Hemiptera; Cicadidae. The record is from RNAcentral.
CAUUAAGUGACCGAAUU